GGAAAACGGAGAAAGGGUUUGGACUUUGGAGGCUCUUGAUUUGUGAAGUUUUUGUUUGAUUCGGCAUGUCUGGUGAAGAGGAAGAAAAUGCUGCUGAGCUCAAAAUUGGAGAUGAGUUUUUGAAGGCCAAGUGCUUGAUGAAUUGUGAAGUAGCAUUAAUUCUUGAACAUAAAUACGAGCAGCUUCAGCAGAUGUCUGAUGAUCCGAUGAACCAAGUCUCUCAGGUAUUUGAGAAGUCACUACAGUAUGUCAAGCGGUUUAGCCGUUAUAAAAAUCCUGAUGCUGU
Molecule: unclassified non-coding RNA, 286 nt
Filed under: Hevea brasiliensis (rubber tree)
Lineage: Eukaryota; Viridiplantae; Streptophyta; Magnoliopsida; Malpighiales; Euphorbiaceae
Source: RNAcentral